RNAcentral lists this ribosomal RNA (760 nucleotides) under Saccharomonospora sp. 41705. Its description in RNAcentral is "bacterial SSU rRNA". It matches the Rfam family "Bacterial small subunit ribosomal RNA", at positions 68 to 838 of the family's 1533-position model. The record is from RNAcentral. Lineage: Bacteria; Bacillati; Actinomycetota; Actinomycetes; Pseudonocardiales; Pseudonocardiaceae.
GCUGAAGCCCAGCUUGCUGGGUGGAGGAGUGGCGAACGGGUGAGUAACACGUGGGUAAUCUGCCCUGUACUCUGGGAUAAGCCUGGGAAACUGGGUCUAAUACCGGAUAGGACAUGCUCUCGCAUGAGGGUGUGUGGAAAGUUCCGGCGGUACAGGUUGAGCCCGCGGCCUAUCAGCUUGUUGGUGGGGUGAUGGCCUACCAAGGCGACGACGGGUAGCCGGCCUGAGAGGGUGACCGGCCACACUGGGACUGAGACACGGCCCAGACUCCUACGGGAGGCAGCAGUGGGGAAUAUUGCACAAUGGGCGCAAGCCUGAUGCAGCGACGCCGCGUGGGGGAUGACGGCCUUCGGGUUGUAAACCUCUUUCGCCCGGGACGAAGGGAGACUGACGGUACCGGGAGAAGAAGCACCGGCUAACUACGUGCCAGCAGCCGCGGUAAUACGUAGGGUGCAAGCGUUGUCCGGAAUUAUUGGGCGUAAAGAGCUCGUAGGCGGUGUGUUACGUCUGCCGUGAAAACCUGCGGCUUAACCGUGGGCGUGCGGUGGAUACGGGCAUCACUUGAGUUCGGCAGGGGAGACUGGAAUUCCUGGUGUAGCGGUGGAAUGCGCAGAUAUCAGGAGGAACACCGGUGGCGAAGGCGGGUCUCUGGGCCGAUACUGACGCUGAGGAGCGAAAGCGUGGGGAGCGAACAGGAUUAGAUACCCUGGUAGUCCACGCCGUAAACGUUGGGCGCUAGGUGUGGGGCGCUGUUCACGUG